This 497-nucleotide ribosomal RNA is filed under the name uncultured bacterium. RNAcentral's name for it is "partial 16S ribosomal RNA". It matches the Rfam family "Bacterial small subunit ribosomal RNA", at positions 28 to 507 of the family's 1533-position model. The record is from RNAcentral.
GACGAACGCUGGCGGCGUGCCUAAUACAUGCAAGUUGAGCGCUGAAGGUUGGUACUUGUACCGACUGGAUGAGCAGCGAACGGGUGAGUAACGCGUGGGGAAUCUGCCUUUGAGCGGGGGACAACAUUUGGAAACGAAUGCUAAUACCGCAUAAAAACUUUAAACACAAGUUUUAAGUUUGAAAGAUGCAAUUGCAUCACUUAAAGAUGAUCCCGCGUUGUAUUAGCUAGUUGGUGAGGUAAAGGCUCACCAAGGCGAUGAUACAUAGCCGACCUGGGAGGGGGGAGGGCCAACUUGGGCCUGGGGCACGGGCCAAACUCCUACGGGCGGCAGGAGGAGGGAAUCUUCGGCAAUGGACGAAAGUCUGACCGAUGAACGCCGCGUGAGUGGAGAAGGUUUUCGGAUCGUAAAACGCUGUUGGUUGAGGAGAACGUUGGUGAGAGUGGAAAGCGCAUCAAGUGACGGUAACUACCCAGAAAGCGACGGCUAACUACGUG